GGGAUUACCUCAGUAACGGCGAGUGAAGCGGUAACAGCUCAAAUUUGAAAUCUGGCCUCACGGUCCGAGUUGUAAUUUGUAGAGGAUGCUUCGAGCAUGGUCUGGCCUAAGUUCCUUGGAACAGGACGUCAUAGAGGGUGAGAAUCCCGUAUGCGGUCAGGUGCCUACGCUCAUGUGAAGCUCCUUCGACGAGUCGAGUUGUUUGGGAAUGCAGCUCAAAAUGGGUGGUAAAUUUCAUCUAAAGCUAAAUAUUGGCCAGAGACCGAUAGCGCACAAGUAGAGUGAUCGAAAGAUGAAAAGCACUUUGGAAAGAGAGUUAAACAGUACGUGAAAUUGUUGAAAGGGAAGCGCUUGCAACCAGACUUGCGCGCGGCCGAUCAUCCGGUGUUCUCACCGGUGCACUCGGCCGUGCUCAGGCCAGCAUCGGUUUUGGCGGCUGGAUAAAGGCCCCAGGAAUGUGGCUCCUCUCGGGGAGUGUUAUAGCCUGGGGUGCAAUGCAGCCUGCUGGGACCGAGGACCGCGCUUCGGCUAGGAUGCUGGCGUAAUGGUUGUAAGCGGCCCGUCUUGAAACACGGACCAAGGAGUCUAACAUCUAUGCGAGUGUUUGGGUGUCAAACCCAUACGCGUAAUGAAAGUGAACGGAGGUGAGAACCCUUAAGGGUGCAUCAUCGACCGAUCCUGAUGUCUUCGGAAGGAUUUGAGUAAGAGCAUAGCUGUUGGGACCCGAAAGAUGGUGAACUAUGCCUGAAUAGGGUGAAGCCAGAGGAAACUCUGGUGGAGGCUCGCAGCGGUUCUGACGUGCAAAUCGAUCGUCAAAUUUGGGUAUAGG
Molecule: ribosomal RNA, 829 nt
Filed under: Thelebolales sp.
Lineage: Eukaryota; Fungi; Ascomycota; Leotiomycetes; Thelebolales
Description: partial large subunit ribosomal RNA
Rfam family: Eukaryotic large subunit ribosomal RNA
Source: RNAcentral